AGGAGGGCGGUGGUGGUGGGCAGAGAAUCAAGAGCGCGAGUAAGUGAGAGGAGGUGAGUGUAGAGGGAGGGGGGGGAGGGGGCGGUGGCGGGUUGAGAAUGCCACCGCCCCUUCGCAAAGUGAACUGGAAAACGAAAGGGGGUGGACGGCGAGAACAGAUGUGUAGUGUGCGCCUUGGACGCGCUUGUGUGUGUGUGUGUGUGUGUGUGUGUGUAUGUGUAUGUGUAUGGGCCUGCAGCGUAGCAACCGCACUACCCCAUUUCUUUUGGUGUUGUUCCUUCGUUGUUGUUUAGCUGCGGUGGAUAACGUCGUUGUGCGCGAGCCGCUGCAUGCUUCGUGUGUUCACUGUUACUUCUGGUGGUUUGUUCUCCAUCUCUUGCGGUGCGUGUGUGUGCGUUUGUGUGUGUGUCUUCCUGCCCCCUCCCCCUCUCUUGGCCACCACGCGCCCUCUCUCCUGCUGCGAGCGCCGCAGCCACUCUUAUAUCGGCGCCUAGCGUCUCAAGUGAGAUGUUCUCCAGUAGGAUUGCCCGCUCGUGCUCCCAAGGCGGCGGAGUGUGAAGGCGAAGACAAGCGCACCCACGCAGAAAAAAAACAUUAGGGGAGGAGGGAGUAUGCCCGAGAUAGCGGGGGAGAGAGAGGGAGGGAGCCUUAGCACUGCAAUACGGCAGCCUUAUGGUGUUUGCAAGUUGUGUAGCGGAUGGGGGGAGGUCGCUGCUGCAGAAGGUGUGUGCUGGCCCCCGCUCCACUGUGGCAGCUCACUCCCUGCAUACAUGCAUGCUUACACAAAAAUGCCGCUCUGACUAUCCCUCGCGUUGUUGUCUUGGGUCGGUGAGGAUGCGCGAUUGCUGCGUGGCGCCGCCCUUCUGCUGAGGCUGCUGAGGAUGGAAGUUGCAGCGCUGCCGGUGAUGCACGCACACACACACACACACGCACACACACACAAACUUGCAGAGAUGUUUGUGUGUGUGCGUGUAGGUUCGCGGCCUCCCUGCCCCUUAACCCCUUUCCUUACGUCCCCCGGGCAUGUGCUCCGAAACGAAAAGAAGGGCGACGCACACAAUUGAAAGAGAUGAAAUUGCCCACACGUGCACCAACGCGCGUGUGUGAGCACGUCUGCGUGUGGGCGCCCGCUCGCUCUCUGUUUCUCCUCGCUGUAUGGAACGCCGCCGUCUCCCACGCACACGCCUUUUUUCUUUCUUAACUCCCUCGUCGUCGUCGUCCUCACUCAGCCGCCGCUGCCGCCGCCCCAGUGGCCCUGCCAUGUACACUUAGCAAGCAAGCAGCGCACAAGAUGCACAAAGGAAAGGAAGAGAAGAACGCAUGAUGCAUGGAAAACAGAAACGCGCAGGCGUCCACACUG
RNAcentral lists this unclassified non-coding RNA (1360 nucleotides) under Leishmania donovani. Its description in RNAcentral is "gene:unknown". The record is from RNAcentral. Lineage: Eukaryota; Euglenozoa; Kinetoplastea; Trypanosomatida; Trypanosomatidae.